GAUGUCAUCAGCAACAUCGUCCUGAUUGAAAAAAACAUUUGACAAGAUCAUCAUAAUCAGAAUCAGACCACAAGAAAGAAGGAUUGAGGAAUGUAUCAAAAUGUAAACUAAGCAACAACUUGAUUUCCAAAUCUAGUCUCCCUCAAUGGCAUAUAUCUUGCUCAUGGUUUCAGAAAUCACAAACAGGCUUAAGCAAGGCAUAAGGAGGAAUGCAUCAAAAUGUAAACUAAACCACUUGAUAUUCAAUUCGUGUCUUCCUCAAUGGCUUAACAAGGCUUAUGAUUUCAUAAAUUAAGCAACAAAACAGGAUUAAACACAUUUGACAAUCACUAAAAUCAGAAUCAGAGCCAGCAGAAUGCAUCCAAAUGUAAACUAAACUGUUUUAUUACAAAUCAAGUCUUUCUUAAUGGUUUAAUUAUAGGCUAAAAGUUUCAGAGAUCAAGAAACAAAAACGUUAUUCGUUCAUCAAGCAACAAAAACAAGCUUAUAAGGCCAAAAUAUAAUACCUAGCAAGAUUACUAACACAGUUGACAAUCACCAAAAUCAGAAUUAGACCAGAAGAAUGCAUCAAAUAAACUUGAUAUCCAAAUCUAACUUUUGUCAAUGACUUAAUUAGGCUCAUUGUUUCACAAUUCAAGCAACAAAAUCAAUCAUACAGGAGCCAAUAUAUAAUACCUGCAUAUCAGAAGUCCAGAGA
This is a long non-coding RNA of Arabidopsis thaliana (thale cress), 697 nucleotides long. RefSeq annotates it as other RNA. The transcript has 2 exons. The record is from RefSeq. NCBI's taxonomy places the organism in Eukaryota, Viridiplantae, Streptophyta, Magnoliopsida, Brassicales, Brassicaceae.